Cebus imitator (Panamanian white-faced capuchin) is the source of this 107-nucleotide long non-coding RNA. RefSeq lists it as uncharacterized. Lineage: Eukaryota; Metazoa; Chordata; Mammalia; Primates; Cebidae. The transcript is spliced from 2 exons. The record is from RefSeq and is a predicted model, not a curated record.
GCGGUGGCUCAAGCCUGUAAUCCCAGCACUUUGGGAGGCCGAGGCGGGUGGAUCACGAGUUAAGAGAUCAAGAUUAUCUUGGUCAACAUGAUGAAACCCUGUCUCUA